CCUGAUUAGAGGAGAUAAUCGGUCUCAGAUCAAAACUAGACUGAGCAUCUAUUUAUUAAAAAUGUAUUUGACCCAUAAAGACUAGUUGUAGCUGUCACUGAAAUAUGUGUCCUUAUUUGAUAUGUAUGUAUUUUUAUUUGUUUGAUUAUGCACUUUUGCACCCUAAAAUUGUAUUAGUUUGCUGCAAACUCUCAUAAUUAAUGACCUCUGCUGGUGGAGAAAAAAUACACUUAGGGUUGCAUAGUCAUGUGAUGCAUCUGGUUAGUCAUGUGAUGUAAUAUAGCAGGGACAAUGAGUUUAGUUCUGCUUUGGAGAUUAUGGGAAAAACACAUCUUUAAGAAGAGCUGCUCCUUACUUAUGACUGGAGGGCACGCACGUCUCAACAGGUCUGGUGACAUUUGUGAUGACCAACAUCUCGGCAGGAUCACUGACUCACCAGAUUAAUCAAGGGACCGCCUGAAUUUCCAAACUGCAAAAAUUACAACAUGACACAUUACUGAGACACAGUAAAUCCAUUCCAGUCCAUGUUGGAGUUUGACAGGCCCAGCUCUUUACUGCCUCUCUGUGCCGAGCUGACUAUUCCUGAAGUGAUUGUGUUUCGUAAAGCAAACGGGCUUCCCAUGGCAACCACGAACUCUCCUUGUCGCACGUCAGACGACCGUCCAA
Long non-coding RNA from Sphaeramia orbicularis (orbiculate cardinalfish), 666 nucleotides. RefSeq lists it as uncharacterized. The transcript is spliced from 3 exons. The record is from RefSeq and is a predicted model, not a curated record. NCBI's taxonomy places the organism in Eukaryota, Metazoa, Chordata, Actinopteri, Kurtiformes, Apogonidae.